Long non-coding RNA from Gambusia affinis (western mosquitofish), 309 nucleotides. RefSeq lists it as uncharacterized. The record is from RefSeq and is a predicted model, not a curated record. The transcript is spliced from 3 exons. NCBI's taxonomy places the organism in Eukaryota, Metazoa, Chordata, Actinopteri, Cyprinodontiformes, Poeciliidae.
CGACGCUCAAUCCUAUGAUUAUCCAACAGCAACACGCUCUAAAAGGCGUUCAAACAGUGCAACGUGAUCAAACAUUUCACAACCGCAGACACAAAUGCAUCACUUCGGCAUGGAUUCUGAGGAGGUUUCUUUUCAUCUUGAAAGAUUAGAUUUUGAAAUCACUGGAGACGGAAAUCGAGACUGAAUAUCUUGUAACACCGCAGAAAACGCAGUAAAUAUGAACCAGAAUCAGCACUUUUAAAAAGUCACCUACAGCCGACUUUGACCUGAUGGACAGACAUCAAUCCUCUCCUUCACAGGCUUUAGUGU